GGUUUGAUAGUUUAAUAUAAAAAUGUAGAUUUUGUAAAUCUAAGAUAUAAAUUUAUUCAAUGUG
RNAcentral lists this transfer RNA (64 nucleotides) under Lophogaster typicus. RNAcentral describes it as "tRNA-Thr". The record is from RNAcentral. Lineage: Eukaryota; Metazoa; Arthropoda; Malacostraca; Lophogastrida; Lophogastridae.